Molecule: ribosomal RNA, 468 nt
Filed under: uncultured bacterium
Lineage: Bacteria
Description: partial 16S ribosomal RNA
Rfam family: Bacterial small subunit ribosomal RNA
Source: RNAcentral
GACGAACGCUGGCGGCGUGCUUAACACAUGCAAGUCGAACGGAAAGGCCCUGCUUUUGUGGGGUGCCCGAGUGGCGAACGGGUGAGUAACACGUGAGUAACCUGCCCUUGACUUUGGGAUAACUUCAGGAAACGGGGGCUAAUACCGUAUAGGAGCUCCUGCUGCAUGGUGGGGGUUGGAAAGUUUCGGCGGUUGGGGAUGGACUCGCGGCUUAUCGGCUUGUUGGUGGGGUAGUGGCUGACCAAGGCUUUGACGGGUAGGCGGCCUGAGAGGGUGACCGGCCACAUUGGGUCUGAGAUACGGCCCAGGCUCCUACGGGAGGCAGCAGUGGGGAAUAUUGCACAAUGGACGGAGGCCUGAUGAAGAAACGCCGCGUGCGGGAUGACGGCCUUCGGGUUGUAAACCGCUUUCGCCUGUGACGAAGCGUGAGUGACGGUAAUGGGUAAAGAAGCACCGGCUAACUACGUG